Vicia faba (fava bean) is the source of this 267-nucleotide non-coding RNA. NCBI's taxonomy places the organism in Eukaryota, Viridiplantae, Streptophyta, Magnoliopsida, Fabales, Fabaceae. The record is from the annotation of a GenBank genome assembly.
AUGAAUGCACCACUACCACCCUCCACACCACCUUUCCUUAUUAAUACUCAAACCCUUUUCUCCCUCUCAUUCUCCACUUCCCUAAUUCCUAACCUUAAUUUCCUCCAUUCUAACAAAAAAGCUGGUUUCAUUAACCAUUCAAAUACCGUCCGGCAGAUUUUGAAUUUGACUAGGGUUGAAAGAGUUCAUAUUUCUUUAGUGAGUUGUAAAGUGACUUAUAUUUGGACUUGUGAGAAUAUUUAUAGUCAAGAUUGUUUGCUCAGUUGA